CCUUAGAUGUUUUGGGCCGCACGCGCGCUACACUGACAGAGCCAGCGAGUUUUUCACCUUGGCCGGAAGGUCUGGGUAAUCUUGUGAAACUCUGUCGUGCUGGGGAUAGAGCAUUGCAAUUAUUGCUCUUCAACGAGGAAUUCCUAGUAAGCGUGAGUCAUCAGCUCGCGUUGAUUACGUCCCCUGCCCCUGACAACCGCCC
Molecule: ribosomal RNA, 202 nt
Filed under: uncultured fungus
Lineage: Eukaryota; Fungi
Description: partial 18S ribosomal RNA
Rfam family: Eukaryotic small subunit ribosomal RNA
Source: RNAcentral